GACGAACGCUGGCGGCGUGCUUAACACAUGCAAGUCGAACGGAAAGGCCCUGCUUUUGUGGGGUGCUCGAGUGGCGAACGGGUGAGUAACACGUGAGUAACCUGCCCUUGACUUUGGGAUAACUUCAGGAAACUGGGGCUAAUACCGGAUAGGAGCUCCUGCUGCAUGGUGGGGGUUGGAAAGUUUCGGCGGUUGGGGAUGGACUCGCGGCUUAUCAGCUUGUUGGUGGGGUAGUGGCUUACCAAGGCUUUGACGGGUAGCCGGCCUGAGAGGGUGACCGGCCACAUUGGGACUGGGAUACGGCCCAGACUCCUACGGGAGGCAGCAGUGGGGAAUAUUGCACAAUGGGCGGAAGCCUGAUGCAGCAACGCCGCGUGCGGGAUGACGGCCUUCGGGUUGUAAACCGCUUUCGCCUGUGACGAAGCGUGAGUAACGGUAAUGGGUAAAGAAGCACCGGCUAACUACGUG
Molecule: ribosomal RNA, 468 nt
Filed under: uncultured bacterium
Lineage: Bacteria
Description: partial 16S ribosomal RNA
Rfam family: Bacterial small subunit ribosomal RNA
Source: RNAcentral